GUGUGUGUACCCGUGUGCGCGCGUGCGCGCGACCCGCUCACGCGCGCGUGUGUAUGUACAGUAUGUGCGUGAGUUUUUAAUUUAAAAUGUCUUAACUUAACUCGGAAGGAUCUGAAUCACAGGUCAUUUCAUCUGAGAUCAUUCCGCAUGUAACAGCCGGAAUCACUCACUGUUUCCCACAACGACACGAGUCAUCAGCCGUUUCCUCAAGGUCACGUCAGAGGGGUGGUGAUGUGGAGAGGCAGACCAGACCACCACCAUACGCGAAGAUGAGCCUCGAGGCGUGACAGUUAUUUUUUCAAACUGAGGAGUUCGGACUCCGGACCGUCAUUUCUGCUUGUUUGUACCCUGAGGUAAGUAAACUUUCUACAUUUUUGAAACGAUAUUACUGAAAUAUUUAGUAUAAUUAGUUAAUAUUUAUUUUGUUAGAGUAGGUCUUGUGCUAAAUAGUGAUACUAGAAGCUACAUUUAUAAUAUUUACCUCAGUUAAAAAAUACUGCUGGUAACGUUAAAGCACUGACGGGCUUCGUCAACCGUCAGUUAUAAAAGCUCUGUUAAAUACAUUUUGUUCCUGGUUUUAAUGAAUUACGUUACAGUCCUGCUUUAUUUCUUUGUCAUUUUCAAUUAAAUUGCCAAGCACAAUAAGACAGCUGUGUUGUAAGGAGACGAAAUUCGAGACAGUGGUGUUAUUUCAAUGAAGCGCGUGGUCAAAGGAACCGGGUGGAAGACGGUGGAAGGGAAAUUAUAUGUAAAUGUUUGUCGCAGUUUUACACAUAUUCCAUAACCAUGGUUAAUAAAUGGUCAGACACGUCACUGGCUUUAAAAUAUAAACCCCAUUGAUGCAAAAAGAUGCUGCAUGGAAUGACAAUGUGGUUUGGAACAGACUUGGUGAAGAACAUGGAAACAUCUCUUAAUAAAAUGGCCCCAAACAUCAUCAGGAGUGCAAAAGAAGGAAGUAAAAACAUCUCUACGCCAAUCUCAUUGGAGAGGAAACCACAGAAGGUCUGGUGAGGAAUGCUGCACUUAUGUUAUUGCAAGCAUUAUUUCAAGAAAAUCCCAGCUUCCUUUACUGUGUAAAUAGUGAACCCAAAGGUCCCACACCAACCAUAGUGUUCAACGGCUCUCCUGAUCUUUUCAAAUCUGAAUGUAUCAACUUUAUAAUGGACAAUGUGAACUUAAUAUGUGGAAGACAUUGACAUCACAGGCUGUGGAAUGACUGUGUCACAGGUCGGAGAAGCGGACCGCCCCUGUCGCGGAUCACGCUCCUCCUAGUUCCACCUCGAGGAGGUCCCAAAGCACCCCAAUGACCAGACAAACCAGAGGGGGAGUAUUACGGGGCCAUGGACGUUGGAGGGGUUUCCACGUGACUCCAGCUGGAACACCGCUACAGAGCGUAUCUGGGUGGGUUGGGCACACACCGUCGCGGCGGCCCCUGAUGGCAUCCACAAGGGUCCAAGACCCUCCUAAGCUCCUAGCCGUAGCAGAACUACGUAUUUCAGCACCCGAACGACUAACAACCCAGCCGGCAUCUGCAGCGUAUAUCCAACGCGAUCAAACUUCACUCUGACAAGUAACUUCCUAUACACAACCACGCCGUCCUUUCACCCGGACCAGCCCCGCACUCUUUCCGCCCGCUACCUAGCGGUCGCCGGAUCAGCAGAGCCUGCGGACUCUUCGGAGGCUGGUCUUCGUUGUGCUGCCCAAGGCGGAAGUUGACUCGCCCGAAAAUCGACCCUUCCAGUAACUUCUACCUUCUCUCUUUAUAUCCUCCUCCCAGGCGUGGCUCGCCCAACCAUCGCUCGCCACGUCACUCACACAGCUGUGCCUUGUUUCAGCGAGUGCGGGGAUUCCCGGGGAACCCUGAAGUGCCGGUGUCUGUACAAACCGGUCCGGGCGGUACCUCUUCACUCUCCUUUUGGUUCCGCCCCGCAUAGUCACUCCGUGACAACUGUUUGCGUUUUUUUUUUUCUUCAAUGUUCAAUACCCUUUUGCCAUUAAGCACACAGUGACUUUAAUUUAUAAAAUAUAUGCUUAAGUUUUAAUACCUGUACAAAACAAAUGUACAAUCAACUUGUGUAAAUUGUCAUUCUAUUUAAUAGAUUGUUCAUGAAUUGUCUUUAAAUGCAUUGUGAUUUCGGUAACACUUUACAAUAAAGUUCAUUAGUUAACAUUAGUUAAUGUAUUAACUAACUUGAACAAACCAUAAGCAAUACAUUUGUUACAGUAUUUAUUC
Misgurnus anguillicaudatus (oriental weatherfish) is the source of this 2233-nucleotide non-coding RNA. Lineage: Eukaryota; Metazoa; Chordata; Actinopteri; Cypriniformes; Cobitidae. The record is from RefSeq and is a predicted model, not a curated record.